Molecule: ribosomal RNA, 549 nt
Filed under: uncultured bacterium
Lineage: Bacteria
Description: bacterial SSU rRNA
Rfam family: Bacterial small subunit ribosomal RNA
Source: RNAcentral
UGGGAAUCUUCGGCAAUGGACGGAAGUCUGACCGAGCAACGCCGCGUGAGUGAAGAAGGUUUUCGGAUCGUAAAGCUCUGUUGUAAGAGAAGAACGAGUGUGAGAGUGGAAAGUUCACACUGUGACGGUAUCUUACCAGAAAGGGACGGCUAACUACGUGCCAGCAGCCGCGGUAAUACGUAGGUCCCGAGCGUUGUCCGGAUUUAUUGGGCGUAAAGCGAGCGCAGGCGGUUAGAUAAGUCUGAAGUUAAAGGCUGUGGCUUAACCAUAGUACGCUUUGGAAACUGUUUAACUUGAGUGCAAGAGGGGAGAGUGGAAUUCCAUGUGUAGCGGUGAAAUGCGUAGAUAUAUGGAGGAACACCGGUGGCGAAAGCGGCUCUCUGGCUUGUAACUGACGCUGAGGCUCGAAAGCGUGGGGAGCAAACAGGAUUAGAUACCCUGGUAGUUCACGCCGUAAACGAUGAGUGCUAGGUGUUAGACCCUUUCCGGGGUUUAGUGCCGUAGCUAACGCAUUAAGCACUCCGCCUGGGGAGUACGACCGCAAGGUUG